UACGGAGGGUGCGAGCGUUGUCCGGAAUCACUGGGCGUAAAGGGCGCGUAGGCGGUUCGUUAAGUUGCUGGUGAAAUCCCGGGGCUCAACUCCGGGGCUGCCAGUAAGACUGGCGGGCUAGAGCACGGUAGAGGCAGAUGGAAUUCCCGGUGUAGCGGUGGAAUGCGUAGAGAUGCGGAGGAACACCGAUGGCGAAGGCAGCCCCCUGGGCCAAUACUGACGCUCAGGCACGAAAGCGUGGGGAGCAAACAGG
RNAcentral lists this ribosomal RNA (253 nucleotides) under uncultured bacterium. Its description in RNAcentral is "partial 16S ribosomal RNA". It matches the Rfam family "Bacterial small subunit ribosomal RNA", at positions 524 to 776 of the family's 1533-position model. The record is from RNAcentral.